GCAAUAAUGGUCGUCGCAGCUGC
RNAcentral lists this non-coding RNA (23 nucleotides) under Arabidopsis thaliana (thale cress). Lineage: Eukaryota; Viridiplantae; Streptophyta; Magnoliopsida; Brassicales; Brassicaceae. The record is from RNAcentral.